GGCUCCUCCAGGACCUGAAAUAUCGCAGCCCCAAUGGAGAGGUAGAAGAUGAUGACAGAAGUCAGCAAGGGGCCUUUAUCUACCAUACUUCUGUGCAGAAGAGCGGGGCAAACACUAAAGGAGGAGGGGUAGAUAACAAAGCUGGGAGACGACAAAGGAGCGCGCGGCAGCUGACAGCUUCGGGCUCGAGACAGACAAGAUAGCGGUGGAGAAAAAGUUUAAAAAGCCGGACCGAGCGCGCGUGCCAACUCAUCCACUUGUUGCAGUAUGCUCCCACGUGCGCAUCCGGCGGCCAACUGUGACCAUAAAGUAGAGAGCCGCGGAGAGUGAAGUGGUGGAGACCCGCCCAGCGCCGAGGGAGGGCAAACACCCCUGCUGCUACUUCUGCUGAGAAGUUUGGCCACAGGUGCACAAGUCCCAGAGACAACAAAAACACAUUUCAGACACACGUCACUCCUCUGCGCUGCAUCAUAAUCAAGUAUAAUAUCACUACAUCUGAUUUAAAUACAUUUAGGAUAAACAGAAGUGAGUGAAUUUAUAAAAAUUAUAAUCUGAACGUUACUGUAGGAUGCAAUUCUGUAUCUUAUUGCCUUAAUAAAACAAUACAUAGCAACAAGAAAAAAAUAAAUAUGUAUAUCAAUAAUCAGGACUAAUAAAGUAUCUAUUUGCACCAUCAGAAAUUAGUUAAUAGAAUGGUCGGAUCUAUGGGAGGAGCUGGAAGGGCACUGGCCCCUCCUUUCAUGGUCCUUCUAACUAAAUCCCCUUAAAAAAAAAAAAAAAAAAAAACAUAACCUAAACAUUUUUCUUAGAAAACAUAACAUAA
Girardinichthys multiradiatus is the source of this 823-nucleotide long non-coding RNA. RefSeq lists it as uncharacterized. NCBI's taxonomy places the organism in Eukaryota, Metazoa, Chordata, Actinopteri, Cyprinodontiformes, Goodeidae. The record is from RefSeq and is a predicted model, not a curated record. The transcript has 2 exons.